This 497-nucleotide ribosomal RNA is filed under the name uncultured bacterium. RNAcentral's name for it is "partial 16S ribosomal RNA". It matches the Rfam family "Bacterial small subunit ribosomal RNA", at positions 28 to 507 of the family's 1533-position model. The record is from RNAcentral.
GAUGAACGCUGACGGCGUGCCUAAUACAUGCAAGUCGAGCGAACGGACGAGAAGCUUGCUUCUCUGAUGUUAGCGGCGGACGGGUAAGUAACACGUGGAUAACCUACCUAUAAGACUGGGAUAACUUCGGGAAACCGGAGCUAAUACCGGAUAAUAUUUUGAACCGCAUGGUUCAAAAGUGAAAGACGGUCUUGCUGUCACUUAUAGAUGGAUCCGCGCUGCAUUAGCUAGUUGGUAAGGUAACGGCUUACCAAGGCAACGAUGCAUAGCCGACCUGAGAGGGUGAUCGGCCACACUGGAACUGAGACACGGUCCAGACUCCUACGGGAGGCAGCAGUAGGGAAUCUUCCGCAAUGGGCGAAAGCCUGACGGAGCAACGCCGCGUGAGUGAUGAAGGUCUUCGGAUCGUAAAACUCUGUUAUUAGGGAAGAACAUAUGUGUAAGUAACUGUGCACAUCUUGACGGUACCUAAUCAGAAAGCCACGGCUAACUACGUG